AACAAAUGCUAACAUGGCAACUUAUUUUAUGAAAAUAACCGGUAACUAAUAAUUUCAUGUUAAAAUGUGGCCUUAUUCUCUAGAGUAAUUUCCACCACUUAAAUUAUUUUACAGAGGAAUUAUUCAUAUUGUUUCAUAAAGAUAUUUUUCUAUUUGCUUGCUUCAGAUUUUAAACCAUGCCUGAAUUUCUGGAACACGCUUAUGUAGAUUACAGGCAUAUCUUUCUUUUUUCAAGACAGUUAGCAUUAAAAAAAUAGAAGCCUUUUUUUCCUUAUGUUCUGCAAAAUUUUUGGUGUUCAAUACUUUCUACUUUAAUUUUUUGUAAUUGUGUUGCAAUUUUUUUUCAAAUAUAUUCUCUUCACAAAAUUAUUUCUCUAUUCAGGCUGGAAGCAAAAAAACAGGAUUUGCUUAUAAAUCCUUGAGAGAGGAAGAUACAACCAUCCCUGAACUUAGAAGAGUUAACCAGACACACAAAACAAAUUAAAAAAUAGUGAGCUCCUAGCACCUGGAGACCUGCCAGGGGCAAUUAAAGGUCAGUCGCAGCUGUGACUGGUUAUUAAAAAAGGGCUUUUGUAGGAAGUGAAGUUUUGAGUCCCCAUAGGAGGUCUUAGUGUUGUGGAGAGAGUGGUUGGUUGAAGAGCUGGUGUGAAACUUCACACUUCCUGCAUGCAAAAAAAAUGUUGCAUCAGAAGUCAGCGAUGGUUCCACAGACAACAAGGGAAGAAAAUAGUUGUUAAUGAGUGGCUGCUAAGGGAAGAGUUUGGCUUUGCAAUGUCCAGCUAUCAUGACAGAUAUGUUACCAUUGACUCUGGAUUUUGCCACCCUGAAAUCUCCUCAAGCCAAGAGAGGGAACCUGAAAAAGACCACCUAUAGGAACACUUGCACCCUGCCCCUGACCUGGACAUCUUCAACUAUGAAGAAGCUAUUCCUGGCUGCUUCUUGUUUUAGGCUUGAAAACUUCAAGGAUGGGAACUAUGCAGUGUCCUUGGAUAACCUGCUCCAGUGUUCCACCAGCCACAUCUUUUGGAGGCAGCCUUUUUUCUAAAUUCCACUUUGAACCUCCCAAACCUUGAUUUGUGGCUGUGACAGAUCCCUCUUACUAUAUUCAGUGCCUCUUGCCUGAAAAAAAUCUUAGUCUAGGCUCAUCAGCCUUGAUGAAAGGAAAACAGGAAAUCUAGGUUCUGAUGCCUAUCUAAAUUGUAUCCUUUGAUCUGGAGUCUCCACUACUAAAAGUUUUAAUUUCUAGACUUGUAAAUGUUCUGAAAUAAGUUUUUGUCUAACACUGGUUUUUAAAAAAUACUUCUAUAUAUGAAAUUGGUUUUUUCUGUACCUGGCAAUUUUCAGCUGUUCUGGUUUAUGUUCUAAUUUAGAAAUAGCUGCAAAAAAAUAGAAGUAAACAUGAGAUUUAGCAUUCCCUGUUGUGUUUUUCCUUUCCUACUUUAUUCACCAGAAUGUACUAUGUAGAUUGCGGUAGUAAGGAUGAUUUCCUGGAAGCUACUUUUGGAACAUUUUGAAGGUGAUCCUCCUUAGUGCCAAGAGAAGCAAAGUGGUUCUGUGUUGAAAUGUUGAGUGAUUAUAAUAAAAAAAUAAAUCCAGUGUAACUAAAUGUCAGCUUUGUGCAAAUAACAUAAGUAACUUAACGACUCAAAUUCAGAGUUCUUAAUAAGUAAAGAUUUCUAACUCUUCCAUAUUUUAUCUAUUAUAUUAUUGCAUUGUGCUAUUUAAGACAGCAGUGUUCUGUUAUUUUUCUACUAGUCUGACACCUAAUGUGCUUUCCUUUGGGUUGGUAGAAAAAGAUGAUUUUUAUGGCAAUUCACACUUAAAAGAAGAAAAGCUGUCCUUCAUUUUAAUGACUAUUGAGCCAUAUUAUAGAUAUAUUAUGCCUUUUUUAGUUAAACAGAAGAUUUUGAGUUUCCUCUAAUGACACUAGAGACUAAACUCCUCUGUAGAAAGAAGUUUCAGUAAAGUAUCGUGUGGCUUCCAUUUUAGUCUGUAGUUUUCAGAAAGGGUGUUAAUUUUUAUUUUUGCAAUACAAAUAGAAUGCCAGUGCAAUGUUCUUGGUGCUGGCAAAAACUGAUGCUGCCCUUGAAGUACUACACGUGAUCAGUAGAGAGGAAGUACUACCCACGCAUGCAGGGCAAAAAGUUUAAAGCAACUUUUUUGUCAAUAGGAAAAAUGGGUGUCCUCAGAAAUAUGCAUAAGCAAUUUCAUCUGUGAGCUGUAAAAGAACUGAUCAUAGCAACAGGCAUGCGUUAAGGGUUGUAUUUACACUGCGAAAUUUUGGCUUAAAAACUGCAUAAUAAAUGUUGAGGAAGUGGUUUGUGUUCAGCAGCAUGCUAGUGCAGUGAUGCAUCUCCAGAAAAAUGCUGUAGAAAGCAGAGUGUGUCUUUAACUUGAG
This 2398-nucleotide long non-coding RNA is filed under the name Anas zonorhyncha (Eastern spot-billed duck). Its description in RNAcentral is "lncRNA (ENSAZOG00000000521.1)". The record is from RNAcentral. Lineage: Eukaryota; Metazoa; Chordata; Aves; Anseriformes; Anatidae.